GAAAUGCGAUAAGUAAUGUGAAUUGCAGAAUUCGGUGAAUCAUCGAAUCUUUGAACGCACAUUGCGCCCGCCAGUAUUCUGGCGGGCAUGCCUGUUCGAGCGUCAUUUCAACCAUCAAGCCCCGCGCUUGUGUUGGGGACCUGCGGCUGCCGCAGGCCCUGAAAACCAGUGGCGGGCUCGCUGUCACACCGGGCGUAGUAGAUUUUAUCUCGCUCAGGGCGUGCUGCGGGUUCCGGCCGUUAAAAAGCCUUUUUUACCCAAGGUUGACCUCGGAUCAGGUAGGAAGACCCGCUGAACUUAAGC
This 303-nucleotide unclassified non-coding RNA is filed under the name plant metagenome. RNAcentral describes it as "partial contains 5.8S ribosomal RNA, internal transcribed spacer 2, and large subunit ribosomal RNA". The stretch from base 1 to 105 matches the Rfam family "5.8S ribosomal RNA", at positions 50 to 154 of the family's 154-position model. The record is from RNAcentral.